RNAcentral lists this ribosomal RNA (211 nucleotides) under uncultured cyanobacterium. Its description in RNAcentral is "partial 16S ribosomal RNA". It matches the Rfam family "Bacterial small subunit ribosomal RNA", at positions 1324 to 1533 of the family's 1533-position model. The record is from RNAcentral. Lineage: Bacteria; Bacillati; Cyanobacteriota.
AGUAGGAAUCGCUAGUAAUCGCAGGUCAGCAUACUGCGGUGAAUACGUUCCCGGGCCUUGUACACACCGCCCGUCACACCAUGGAAGUUGGCCACGCCCGAAGUCGUUACUUUAACCCUUGUGGAGAAGGACGCCGAAGGUGGGGCUGAUGACUGGGGUGAAGUCGUAACAAGGUAGCCGUACCGGAAGGUGCGGCUGGAUCACCUCCUAA